CUGUGUUCCACGCUGUCGGUUCGCCGCCCGUCGGUGUUAACUGGCAUGUCCUGUGGAACGUCCUGCCGGUGGCGGUCCGGGCUCUCGGCUUGCGUAAAGGCUCACGCCCGAAGCAGGCCGAACAGUACCGGCCGCCGGUCCAAUCCCGCCACGGUGCUCUUCACCGAGUGUCGAGGUGGGCCGGCACGUUUACUUUGAACAAAUUAGAGUGCUUAAAGCAGGCUGGUGUCCGCCUGAAUACUGUGUGCAUGGAAUAAUAGAAUAGGACCUCGGUUCUAUUUUGUUGGUUUUCGGAACCCGAGGUAAUGAUUAAUAGGGACAGGCGGGGGCAUUCGUAUUGCGACGUUAGAGGUGAAAUUCUUGGAUCGUCGCAAGACGAACCUAAGCGAAAGCAUUUGCCAAGUAUGUUCUCGUUAAUCAAGAACGAAAGUUAGAGGUUCGAAGGCGAUCAGAUACCGCCCUAGUUCUAACCAUAAACGAUGCCAGCCAGCGAUCCGCCGAAGUUCCUCCGAUGACUCGGCGGGCAGCUUCCGGGAAACCAAAGCUUUUGGGUUCCGGGGGAAGUAUGGUUGCAAAGCUGAAACUUAAAGGAAUUGACGGAAGGGCACCACCAGGAGUGGAGCCUGCGGCUUAAUUUGACUCAACACGGGAAACCUCACCAGGCCCGGACACCGGAAGGAUUGACAGAUUGAGAGCUCUUUCUUGAUUCGGUGGGUGGUGGUGCAUGGCCGUUCUUAGUUGGUGGAGCGAUUUGUCUGGUUAAUUCCGAUAACGAACGAGACUCUAGCCUGCUAACUAGGCGAUUCCGGUACCCACAAUAGUGUUACCGGCGAUUCAAUUUCUUCUUAGAGGGACAGGCGGCUCCUAGCCGCACGAGACUGAGCAAUAACAGGUCUGUGAUGCCCUUAGAUGUCCUGGGCCGCACGCGCGCUACACUGAAGGAAUCAGCGUGUCUUCCCUGGCCGACAGGCCCGGGUAACCCGUUGAACCUCCUUCGUGCUAGGGAUUGGGGCUUGCAAUUGUUCCCCAUGAACGAGGAAUUCCCAGUAAGCGCGAGUCAUAAGCUCGCGUUGAUUACGUCCCUGCCCUUUGUACACACCGCCCGUCGCUACUACCGAUUGAAUGAUUUAGUGAGGUCUUCGGACUGGUGCGCGGCGAUCGGCUUAUACUGCCGGCCGCCGAUGUUGCCGGAAAGAUGACCAAACUUGAUCAUUUAGAGGAAGUAAAAGUCGUAACAA
Molecule: ribosomal RNA, 1238 nt
Filed under: Maxantonia mimica
Lineage: Eukaryota; Metazoa; Arthropoda; Insecta; Hemiptera; Cercopidae
Description: SSU rRNA
Rfam family: Eukaryotic small subunit ribosomal RNA
Source: RNAcentral